AGGUUACGUAGUUGUUAUGCAGCAAAUCAGAGGUGAUCACAACACUUGAUUAAAAAUAAUGAAUCUAACCAUGAUUUUUUGGACGAUAAAGAAGUAAAAUUGAAAAGCCUACAGGGGAAACGCAAGAGCGCUGUAGAGACGCCAGCAGGGAAGAAUGCGGAUCAAGCCACAGAAAUGGCAGAGCUAAAGACCCAGAACCUUUAAAUGUCCCCAGAAUGCUCCUUUCACACAACUUCAUACGAAAAAGCCCUCCAGCUGAGUUAUGCCCCUUCGUCAUGGAAUUCACACCCCACCCCCUCCACUGACGCAAGCUUUGGAGAGCAGCUCUAUGGAGGGUAACCUAAGUGCUGCCUCCAGAGCUAAGUGUGCUGUCCUUGCUUGUUAUUGUAACAUUGAUAUACAUAUCUCCCUUUCCUCAUUUGUUAUACCCUAAUGUCAUUAGGACAAGCCUGCAGCAAUUUUAAAAGCUGGC
Grus americana (Whooping crane) is the source of this 472-nucleotide long non-coding RNA. RefSeq lists it as uncharacterized. NCBI's taxonomy places the organism in Eukaryota, Metazoa, Chordata, Aves, Gruiformes, Gruidae. The transcript has 3 exons. The record is from RefSeq and is a predicted model, not a curated record.